GACGAACCGUGCAAACGUUAUUCGGAAUCACUGGGCUUAAAGGGCGCGUAGGCGGGCGGCCAAGUCUGUGGUGAAAUACUCCAGCUUAACUGGAGAACUGCCGCGGAUACUGGUUGUCUCGAGGGAGGUAGGGGCGCGCGGAACACUAGGUGGAGCGGUGAAAUGCGUUGAUAUCUAGUGGAACUCCGGUGGCGAAGGCGGCGCGCUGGACCUCUUCUGACGCUGAGGCGCGAAAGCGUGGGGAGCGAACAGG
RNAcentral lists this ribosomal RNA (253 nucleotides) under uncultured bacterium. Its description in RNAcentral is "partial 16S ribosomal RNA". It matches the Rfam family "Bacterial small subunit ribosomal RNA", at positions 524 to 776 of the family's 1533-position model. The record is from RNAcentral.